Molecule: ribosomal RNA, 647 nt
Filed under: bacterium HN1-10-43
Lineage: Bacteria
Description: bacterial SSU rRNA
Rfam family: Bacterial small subunit ribosomal RNA
Source: RNAcentral
CCUACGGGAGGCAGCAGUAGGGAAUCUUCCGCAAUGGACGAAAGUCUGACGGAGCAACGCCGCGUGAGUGAUGAAGGCUUUCGGGUCGUAAAACUCUGUUGUUAGGGAAGAACAAGUACGAGAGUAACUGCUCGUACCUUGACGGUACCUAACCAGAAAGCCACGGCUAACUACGUGCCAGCAGCCGCGGUAAUACGUAGGUGGCAAGCGUUAUCCGGAAUUAUUGGGCGUAAAGCGCGCGCAGGCGGUUUCUUAAGUCUGAUGUGAAAGCCCACGGCUCAACCGUGGAGGGUCAUUGGAAACUGGGGAACUUGAGUGCAGAAGAGAAAAGCGGAAUUCCACGUGUAGCGGUGAAAUGCGUAGAGAUGUGGAGGAACACCAGUGGCGAAGGCGGCUUUUUGGUCUGUAACUGACGCUGAGGCGCGAAAAGCGUGGGGAGCAAACAGGGAUUAGAUACCCUGGUAGUCCACGCCGUAAACGAUGAGUGCUAAGUGUUAGAGGGUUUCCGCCCUUUAGUGCUGCAGCUAACGCAUUAAGCACUCCGCCUGGGGAGUACGGUCGCAAGACUGAAACUCAAAGGAAUUGACGGGGGCCCGCACAAGCGGUGGAGCAUGUGGUUUAAUUCGAAGCAACGCGAAGAACCUUAC